Dioscorea cayenensis subsp. rotundata (Guinea yam) is the source of this 327-nucleotide long non-coding RNA. RefSeq lists it as uncharacterized. NCBI's taxonomy places the organism in Eukaryota, Viridiplantae, Streptophyta, Magnoliopsida, Dioscoreales, Dioscoreaceae. The record is from RefSeq and is a predicted model, not a curated record. The transcript is spliced from 3 exons.
CUUUGUUGUGAAGCUUUUCACAGGCAAAGACUUUUGUUGUGGGAUAUAGUGAAUGUCACUACAUUGCGUGGGAGCAUUUGGAGGUCAAAAGUUGAUGGGAUUCUGGCAUUCAUGUUUAAUGAAAGCUAGAAACAUUGAGGUGGGAAGCUUGUUUACCAAUACGUCAAGAAGAGGGCGAGUGAGCCAAAGUGCCUGGUAAAUGGAAAGAGAAUUCAAGGAGUAUGCAGCCUUGUUUUCCCCUAAUUUUUUUCUUCAUUGUUUGUAUGAUUGUAUCGAGGUAAUAACAUUGUUUUUAAGUUUUUAACAUGCUUGAAGUAUUGAAUGCCA